RNAcentral lists this ribosomal RNA (253 nucleotides) under uncultured bacterium. RNAcentral describes it as "partial 16S ribosomal RNA". It matches the Rfam family "Bacterial small subunit ribosomal RNA", at positions 524 to 776 of the family's 1533-position model. The record is from RNAcentral.
CACGUAGGGGGCAAGCGUUAUCCGGAUUUACUGGGUGUAAAGGGAGCGUAGACGGAGAAGCAAGUCUGAAGUGAAAGUCCGUGGCUUAACCACGGGACUGCUUUGGAAACUGUUUGACUAGAGUGCUGGAGAGGUAAGUGGAAUUCCUAGUGUAGCGGUGAAAUGCGUAGAUAUUAGGAGGAACACCAGUGGCGAAGGCGGCUUACUGGACAGUAACUGACGUUGAGGCUCGAAAGCGUGGGGAGCAAACAGG